ACAAAGGCUCUGCCUUUAUGAAUUAAGACCUCUGCAGCGGGGCUGGGGAUUUAGCUCAGUGGUAGAGCGCUUACCUAGGAAGCGCAAGGCCCUGGGUUCGGUCCCCAGCUCCAAAAAAAAAAAAAAAAAAAAAAAAAAAAAAGACCUCUGCAGAAGUGGGUUUAUUAAAUAGAAAAAGUUUCUCUUCUGCCUUCUGAUUCUUCUGCCUUCUGAUGUGUUCUGACCCAACAUGGGAUCCAUGGCCAUUCACUGGAUGCUUCUAGAACAGUGAGAAAGAAACUUCUGUUCUCUAUAACAUAUACAGCUUCUAGUGCUCUGUUACAGUAGCACAAGACAGGACUCCACGCCUCUCGUUGCAUUGUAGAAUAAGGUAGGGGUAGAGGAUAUUGUUGAGACCAUCUUAGGGAGGACAAAAAAAGGACAGAGGUGCAGUCAAAUGUCAUCACUUAUGAGAAUUAGAUGUGAUGAUAAUCACUUGAUGCUCAGAGCCAGAAAUGGGGCAUGGAAGAAAUUCAAUAAAACUCUCUCCCUGCUUUGAUAUCCUUUCUUCAGCUAUUUUUAAUAUCAGGCCUUCUGCCGACCAUCAAGAAACUCCUGGCUCUGUGGUCUCUAGCAGCUUUUGGAGAAGCCUUGUUCUAUGCUCUCCCUGCAGGUGGUAAGCCCUGCCUUACCCACCCACAGCUCCUCCAUGUUUUAGGGGACCCCGGCAAGGGCUAAGGUGGUAUGCCCCAGUCCCAGCUUCGGUUGUUGACCUCAGGGAUUGAAACUGAGGGUUGAAGAGUUCAAAGCCUGCAUAGUUCAGGAAUGUCCCUGAACCCCAAAGAGUAACUCGAGAAAUUGUUUGUAUCAGCAAGUGAUGACUUAACUCUUGGCAAGGCCAGCAAACUGCCCCUCUUCCUGUUUCCAGAGGCCGUCCAAAGAAAAGAAACCGUCUGGGCUUUCUCAGCUCUGUGGUUGACUGUAGACCCUCACCCCAGGCUGAGGUCUCGGCUCCCAGGAGCAGGAGGAGGGAACAUUCACCGAGCACAGCCCGGACUGUUUGGGUUUCUCAAGCCAACCAGAGGGGCCUGGGUAUUAACUUUUGAGACCACCAACAGCUAGGAGGGGCUCUUGACCCUGAUCCCUGAAUCAAGCAGGACCAGGCUCCUCCAUACCCUGCACCCCACUGGUCUUUUUCUACCUCCUGGUCUUUGCGCAUGUGCUGAGCCUCUGCGCAUGUGCUGAUCCUCUGCCCUGGACCAACGUCCCACUCAGGACUAUACCUAAACGUGGAGGACAGAGCUCCGCCUUCGUCUCACCGAGUGCUUCUUGCUAUCAGCAGCUCCCGCACUUCCUCCCUUCACUCACUUCAGAGGGAAAAGAGGGAGUUUCCCCCUAUGCUUAAGGGACCAAGAAACAAGUUCGGAAGCUAUUUUUCUCAUCGUGGGACCAAAUAAAUACCCAACAAGAAGUGACUUACGGGAGAAAGUGUUUGUUUUGGCUCACUAUGGGAGCUGUCGCCCAUUACAAGGAGAAAGGGCGGCUGGCGACUGUGGCGGCUGGAGCUUGAGGCUGACCGUUCACAUCUUGGUAAACCAGGAGCCAGAGUGGGGCUGUAAACUGCAAGCUCUUAUCCUCAAGAUCUACUUCUUCCAGAACCAUUAAUCCUCCCUCACAAACGUUCCUAACCCUUCAGGUGAGCAGCAGGAAGUGGACCAAAUUGUUCAAACACAUGAGCCCAUCGUUUAAACCAUGCCAUUGAGGUCAGUCUGUCACUGGGUUAAAUAGUAAACUUGGCUCAGAGUUUUCACUAAAGAACACACUCGUCGUAAACUGUGUGUUAUUCUCUGCUGACUGGAACGCAUCUCAUCCACUCUGCCUACGUUUAUUUUUAUUUAUUUGAGACAAGGUCUUAUUGUAACCCUGUCUGACCUUGAAGGCCUGAUCCUCCUGCCUCUGCCACCUGAGUGCUGGGACUCCAGUGUGCACCACCGUGCCUGGUUUAUGUGGUGCUGGGGGUGAGACUCGUGGCUUCCUGCAUCCUGGACAAGUGCUUUGCUCACUGAGCAACAUCCCCAGAUCCCCUUGCCUGUAUUUAUGUUGUCUGACUCGCAAAUACCAUAGAGUUUUCACCUGUCUAGAGAGGCCAGAAUGUGACCCUUGGCUGCGUGCUCUGCUGUGUGUUGACCCUCCAGCGGCUCUUUCUCUUGGGGCGCUAUUAAAACAGGAUAGCUUCUGAUCAUAACUUUA
Molecule: long non-coding RNA, 2229 nt
Organism: Rattus norvegicus (Norway rat)
Lineage: Eukaryota; Metazoa; Chordata; Mammalia; Rodentia; Muridae
Source: RefSeq, a predicted model, not a curated record